CAGUCGCCACGGUAAUACGUAGGGUGCAAGCGUUAAUCGGAAUUACUGGGCGUAAAGCGCGCGUAGGUGGUUUGUUAAGUUGGAUGUGAAAUCCCCGGGCUCAACCUGGGAACUGCAUCCAAAACUGGCAAGCUAGAGUAUGGUAGAGGGUGGUGGAAUUUCCUGUGUAGCGGUGAAAUGCGUAGAUAUAGGAAGGAACACCAGUGGCGAAGGCGACCACCUGGACUGAUACUGACACUGAGGUGCGAAAGCGUGGGGAGCAAACAGGAUUAGAUACCCCAGUAGUCCCUGUCUCUUAUAC
RNAcentral lists this ribosomal RNA (301 nucleotides) under uncultured bacterium. RNAcentral describes it as "partial 16S ribosomal RNA". It matches the Rfam family "Bacterial small subunit ribosomal RNA", at positions 509 to 807 of the family's 1533-position model. The record is from RNAcentral.